This is a non-coding RNA of Monodelphis domestica (gray short-tailed opossum), 5382 nucleotides long. The record is from RefSeq and is a predicted model, not a curated record. Lineage: Eukaryota; Metazoa; Chordata; Mammalia; Didelphimorphia; Didelphidae.
AGGGCAGGGAUUGGAAACACAAUGUCAAUUUUUGCUUGCUUGUUUUCUGGGAAAGUUAAGGAUUCACGAAAGCAGGGCCUGAGCCGUGGGUGCCCUUUGGUUUCUCCCACUGCCGGAUGAGUGUCCUGGACGCCUGAAUGAGCCAAAGAACAAGAUUCGGCAGGAGAUUCUCCCGGGAUUAGACACAGACUUCAGCUACCCAGAAACUUCAAGUCAGUCUAGCUGAAUUUCCCUCCACUGGAAGAACAAGAGUGAAAGACAGCCCGUUCCCAGAGUGCCCCGUCGAAAAGCCCGGCAUUUGCCCUCCCCUGUAAUUUCAUCCUGAAUCCUAACCAACAUUCCCGCCUCCAGCUGUGACCUGGGAAGCAGACCCUGCCUGGAUCCCGGAGGACGAUGGCUCCAAUAGUUGGCGAAAUGAUCCCGGGCUGUCUGGAGCUGCCCUGUGCGACUGUGGCGCCGAGGCUCCGUUCAUCAAAGGAGAUCAAGGGGCUAUUUCUAGAUCUUUGAAUGAAAGGCAGUAACUGGCUGAGCACAGUCACCGGAGGAUGCCUCCAUCCCGCCCGCUCCCUCAGGGAAGCAGGACAAAGCUGCCCCGAGCCCGGAGAAGCCUGCUCAGAGAUGGCCAUGUUUGGAAGAAUGGCACAGAAGGCACAGCCUGGCUUGGGACAGGCACGGAGACCUCAGCAAGCCCUUGGAGCUCUCUCCUGCUGCAGGUCACUUUCUAAGAUGGCGAGUGACAGAGGCAUCACGUGGUAGAUGGAAGCCCUCUCGGGAAGGGCACUGCAUGGAGGCUAUCACAGGUCCACGAAGAAACCCCAAAAGGUGGCAUUGACACGGCCAUUGAAAGUGUGCAGAUAGGUUUCAAAAGUAGAAUUUGAACCCGAGCCUUUCUAAGUCCGAGGUCUGAACACUGCACUCCCCCUCAUGGAGGAAGUCAAGUAAGAUGGAAGAAUGCUCCCACUCACUCACUAAUAUUUCUAUUAAUGGAAAGGCUGCACUAGAACAGUUCUGAGAAACUUUGUUGGCAGGAUUGCAGAAGACCACCAGAGGAAGCAGGCUACAUUUCGGGACCCGGUCAAGGAGGGAGGCUCCCAGAAUCCUGGGGGGCUCCUCGCUGAAGCUGCCUUCCAAAGGGGUAGCAUCACAGAUACUCCCAGGGCUACGGAGACCAGAGCUUGACCCCCCCUCCCCAGUUGGCUUUGUCUCCAAGCAGCUUUUGGUCCACAAUUCCGUUCUUUAAUUACUCCAUCCAUUCCUCUCGUGGGUAAAGAACUACGUCAGAUCUGGGAGCCCAAACUAUCCCAUCAGCCCCUGCCCUCAAGGAGCUUCAUGUUGUUUAGAAACGGUCCAGUUAAGCAAAUACAGACUAGCUGUUGGAGGAGGAGGAAUCAGGAAGGGCUUCAAGAAGGUGACAUCCAAGAGGAGCCUCAAAGGGACUCGGAGAUUUCAAGAGGCAAAAUGGUCUGGAAGGAGAGCGUUCCCAACAUGGGCAACAGGAGUAAAGAAUGGGAUGUCACAUAAGGGGAAGAACAAAUAGGCUAGUUUGUUAGGAAUGUAGAGGAAGCUCAAAAUGUGAAAUCAGGCUGAUAAAACAGCCUAGAAUCAGCAUUGGGAAGGGUGCUGAAUGGCAAACAGAGUUCAUAUUUUGUCAAAGAGGCCAUUAGAGAGGGAGCACAUAGGUGGCUCAGUGGAAAGAGACAGGAGGGUCUGAGUUCAAAUGUGACCUCAAACACUUCCUAACUAUGUGACCCUGGGCAAGUCACUUUACCCCCAUUGCCUAGCACUUACUGCUCUUCUGCCUUGGAAUCAAUACUCAGUAUUGAUUCUAAGCUCAUUCUAAGAUGGAAGAAAAGGGUUUUAAAAAAAAUAAGAAGAGAAUAGGGAGCCAGUGCAGUUGCUUGAGCAGAGGAGCGGUAGAGUCAAACAUGCAUUAGGAAUAUCAAUUUGACAGCUGAGGAGAGGAAUGGAAUGGAGAGGGAAGACACUGGCAUGAGGGAGAUCAAUGAAGAGGCAGUUGCUAUAGUCUUCUCCAGAGUGAUUGAGACUGAACUAAGAUGGUGACCUUCUGAGCAAAGAAAAGGCAUCAGACUAAGUGGGUGAUUAUAGUUUUGACAUAAAGAGUUCCAAAAUAAGAGGGCCAAAGUAAUUGUUAAUGCUUUAUCUUGAAAAACUAUUGCAACAUUUGGUGUUGUUAGGUGUUAAGCUGUGAAUGUGUUCACAGAAGAAGCUCUGGAAGGGAUCCUAGUAACCAUCUGGACUAAACAUCUCAUUUUACAGCUAAAGAAACUGAGGUUUAAAGAGUAACAGGAGCUCAAAGGGACCCAUCACCAUAUUUAGUUCAACUUGUUCCUAUUACAGUUGAGGAAACUGAGGACAAAAGAAUAAAAUGACUUAGGCUCACAAAAGCUAGUAAAAUGGCAAACCUGGAAUUCAGGACUUGGGACUGGAAAGGACCUCAGUUCAUCUAGAACAACUCCUUUGUUUUACAGAUGAAGGAACUGAAGACCAGGGGAGUUACAUGACUUCCAUCAUAGGAUCCUAGAUCCAGAGCUGGAAGGAACCCAAGAGGACAUCUGGUACAACCUCUAAUUUUAAAGAUGAGGAAACUGAGGCCCAGAGAGGGAAGAGACUGACCCAGGUUCACAUGACCAGUCAUUGAUAGACCUAGAACUCAUGAUUUUAUAUCUUAGAACUGCAACGUCACUCAAAAGCCUUGUAGCCUAACUCCUUCAUUCUACAGUGGGGAAACAGAGUCCCAGAGAUUCAAUAACAUGUCCUGGGUCACAUAGUUAGUGCCACAUUGAUUCUCUAAGUAAAAGCUUACUGGGGAAGGAAAGAUUUUAUUAAGAUGCAGAACUCUGAUUGACCAGCGUUCACAACCCACCCACACCCAGGAACAUAGACAUCCACUCCUACUAGUCACAUCGCAUCGCUCCUUUCAGUGACCUGCAAAAGCAGAGAUGAACAACAGACUGGUCCCCAGCGUGAGCGAGCAGGUUUUUGGCUAGAGCCCGAGUGAGAGCUCAGAGGAACACACACACACACACACACACACUGCUUGUUUAAACAGGUUACCACAUUGCUUUGUUUUCACCCACACCCCAUUCUGAACAGAAAACAGCUCACUUUGACAGGUGACAUCAGGUAAAACAUUCCAGCGACUUUCUCAGCCAAAACCCAACUGGAGGGAGACAGCUCCAGAAGGAGCCCAGGGAGCUCUCCCUCUCCCCCUCCCUCCCUCCCUCCCUCCUUCUCUCUCCCUUUCUCCCUUUUCUCUGUCUCUGUCUCUGUCUCAGUCUCUCUUUUCUCUGGCUAUGGCUGUCUCAUCUCUUUUUCUCUGGCUCUUGCUGUCUCUCAUCUCUUUCUCUCUCUGUGUCUCUUUUUCUCUGUCUCUGUCUCUACUCUGUCUCUUUCUCUCCACCUCUGUCUCUAUCUCUAUCUCUGUCUCUGUCUCUGUCUCUGUCUCUCUCUCUCUCUCUCUCUCUCUCUCUCUCUCUCUCUCUGUCUUUCUGUCUCUCUGUCUCUCUCUCUCUCUCUCUCUCUGUCUCUCUGUCUCUCUCUUUUCUCUGGCUAUGGCUGUCUCAUCUCUUUUUCUCUGGCUCUUUCUCUAUCUCUCCUUUUCUCUGGCUCUGGCUCUCUGUCUCUCAUCUCUUUCUCUCUCUGUGUCUCUUUUUCUCUGUCUGUCUCUACUCUCUGUCUCUUUCUCUCCACCUCUCUUUCUCUCUUCUCUCUCUCUCUCUCUCUCUCUCUCUCUCUCUCUCUCUCUCUCUCUCUGUCUCUCUCUCUCUGUCUCUCUGUCUCUCUCUCUCUCUGUCUCUCUCUCUCUUUUUCUCUGGCUCUUUCUCUAUCUCUCCUCUUCUCUGGCUCUGGCUCUCUGUCUCUCAUCUCUUUCUCUCUCUGUGUCUCUUUUUCUCUGUCUGUCUCUACUCUCUGUCUCUUUCUCUCCACCUCUCUGUCUCCCUGUCUCUAUCUCUGUCUGUCUGUCUUUUUAGGAAGGCAGGGGCUUCCAGGGCUGCACACGUAGCAGGUGAAAACCUCACCAGUGAAAUUGGGGUGAUGGAAGGUCACCCAAACAACAGCAGGAGAGCGUAAUCCUAAGCACAAAUCUUUGAACUGAGGAAAUGGGUUUCCUGGGGGCAGGGCUGGGGAGGAUGUCGAGCUUCAGGUCAAAAAUACAAGAUUUUCAAUCUGAAAGUCACGUUUGCUAGGAAUGCCCCCUUUGUUGGUCCACCCCAGAGAGCUCCCAGGGGCGUGAUUGGUAGAAAAUGAGCAGAUACACAAACGUUCUUAUCUUAUUUGAGGACAAAAGCUGUGAGGUUGGGGAUGCUGCUGUCCCCGUUUUGCAGAUGAGCAAAUAGGUGGCAAACUCCAAGCUCCAUAUGUGAACCCAGAGCUUUCUGAUUCCUGAGCCAAUGUUCUAGCCACUAAGUUGAGGCCCUGAUUGCCAUGAACAGCAAAAGUCCCCUUAAUGCUGGUGCCUCACCCUAGAGAUCAUCUCCAGUGAGUCCCUGUUUGUUCACAGUUGUUUGCAUAUAGUCUUCCAUUCUCUUCCAUUCGAUUGGGAGUUAUUGGAGGGCAGGGACUGUGUUUUGCCCUUUUCUAUAUUCCUAAUGUCUGGCCCAUUUUCUUUUAAACCCUCACCUUCCAUCUUAGAAUCAAUACUGUCUUUUGGUUCUAAGGCAGAAGAGCUACUGGGCUAAGCAAUGGGGGUUAAGUGACUUGCCCAGGGUCAUAUAGCUAGGAAGGAUCUGUGGCCAAAUUUGAACCCAGGACCUCCCAUCUCUAGGUCUGGCUCUCAAUCCACUAAACUACCCAGCUGACCCCAUUUUUGUUGUUUCUCAGUCAUGUUCAUCUCUUGAUGACCCCAUUUGGGGUUUUCUUGAUGAUACUGGAAUGACUUGUCAUUUCCUUCUCCAGCUCAUUUUACAGAUGAAGAAAGUGAGGCAGUUUGGAAGUUUUCUUGGCAAAGAUACUGGAGUGGUUGGCCAUUUCCUUCUCUAGCUCAUUUUACAGAUGAAGAAACUGAGGCAGUUUGGGAGUUUUCUUGGCAAAGAUCCAGGAGAGGUUGGCCAUUUCCUUCUCCAGCUCAUUUUACAGAUGAGAAAAGUGAAGCCAACAGGGUGAAGUGACUUGCCUAGUCACAUAGCUACUAACUAUCUGAUACUAGAUUUGAACUCAGGGCUUCCUGACUCCAGGCCCAGUUCUACCCACUGGGCCAUCUCACUGCCUGUCAAGAGUCAGUGCUUAAUAAAUGUGUUUGGAUUUGACCUAAUUUGACUUUCCUAUUUUGCAGCCUCCAUCAAGGAAGGGGACACAGAAAAGGUGUGCCGCUACUUUGGAUUUCCUGGGUCAGCACCAAAAUAAAACCAUCACCAAGCCAGA